AGGAAAUAGUUUUAAAAAUAUUAAUUUUGGAGGUUAAAGUUGAGAAUUUAUUUUCUCUUUCCUGAA
This 66-nucleotide transfer RNA is filed under the name Coleoptera sp. ACP-2013. RNAcentral describes it as "tRNA-Pro". The record is from RNAcentral. Lineage: Eukaryota; Metazoa; Arthropoda; Insecta; Coleoptera.